AUGUGCGGUUGGGCAGUUCGAUCAUACGUUGAUCCACUAGCAAGCAGCGCCUGGCAGGCAGGCAUGGCAAUCGAUGCCGGAAAAUGGUGCCACAAGGACCUGGGCAUGCAGAGCUGUGCUGCUUUCUCGUGUUGCGCCGGCAGGCAAUGGCAUGCUUUCGUUGCGCGACGGAUGAAGUCACACGAUGACCACGGCGAUCAUUUCCGUGCUCGCGGGCCGCUGGCUUUGGGCAGCUCCGCCGCUGGCGCCCUUGGCGGGCGCGCCCUCGAUGACCGGCUGCCGGCAGGUGGGGCAGGAGCCGUGGGACACGAGCCAGGCGUCGACGCAGCGGACGUGGAACCCGUGCGCGCACCGCGGCAGCACGCGCACCUUCUCGCCGUCCACGAACUCGCCGAGGCAGAUGGCGCACACGUCGUCGAUCACCUCCCCGGACCCGUACACCUCCACGGGGAGGCUCCUGAGCACGCGCCUCUUGAUGCCGCUGCCUCCGCGGCCGGCACCCCGCGCCGUUGCCCCGCCCUCGCCGGCCGCGGAGCCGCGGCCCACGUACCGGAGCGCGCACCGCGCCAGCGAGUUGAGCCCGAUGGCGAAGAGCAGCGCGAAGAAGAGCGCGGCGAGGAUGAUCACCACGUUGGUGUCGAAGGGCGAGUCCGGCGCCGCCGGCGGCGCCGCGGCAUCGCCUUUUCCGUGGGCGUGGUCGCGGAGAGCAGCCAGCCCCGCGGCGGCGAUGCUCGACGUCGGCGCCUCCGAGUCAGGACGGCCCAUGGUUGA
This 771-nucleotide ribosomal RNA is filed under the name Triticum aestivum (bread wheat). RNAcentral describes it as "partial small subunit ribosomal RNA". Lineage: Eukaryota; Viridiplantae; Streptophyta; Magnoliopsida; Poales; Poaceae. The record is from RNAcentral.